CAAUAGCGUAUAUUAAAGUUGUUGCGGUUAAAAGCUCGUAGUUGGAUUUCUGCCGAGGACGACCGGUCCGCCCUCUGGGUGAGUAUCUGGCUUGGCCUGGGCAUCUUCUUGGAGAACGUAGCUGCACUUGACUGUGUGGUGCGGUAUCCAGGACUUUUACUUUGAGGAAAUUAGAGUGUUUCAAGCAGGCAUGCGCCUUGAAUACAUUAGCAUGGAAUAAUAAGAUAGGACCUCGGUUCUAUUUUGUUGGUUUCUAGAGCUGAGGUAAUGAUUAAUAGGGAUAGUUGGGGGCAUUCGUAUUUAACUGUCAGAGGUGAAAUUCUUGGAUUGACGGAAGACGAACAACUGCGAAAGCAUCUGCCAAGGAUGUUUUCAUUGAUCAAGAACGAAAGUUAGGGGAUCGAAGAUGAUCAGAUACCGU
This 421-nucleotide ribosomal RNA is filed under the name uncultured eukaryote. RNAcentral describes it as "SSU rRNA". It matches the Rfam family "Eukaryotic small subunit ribosomal RNA", at positions 592 to 1018 of the family's 1831-position model. The record is from RNAcentral.